CCUACGGGUGGCAGCAGUGGGGAAUAUUGGGCAAUGGGCGCAAGCCUGACCCAGCAAUGCCGCGUGAAGGAAGAAGGCUUUCGGGUUGUAAACUUCUUUUCGCAGGGACGAAGCAAGUGACGGUACCUGAGGAAUAAGCCACGGCUAACUACGUGCCAGGAGCCGCGGUAAUACGUAGGUGGCAAGCGUUAUCCGGAUUUACUGGGUGUAAAGGGCGUGUAGGCGGGAAGGCAAGUCAGAUGUGAAAACCAUGGGCUCAACCUGUGGACUGCAUUUGAAACUGUUUGUCUAGAGUACUGGAGAGGUAGGCGGAAUUCCUGGUGUAGCGGUGAAAUGCGUAGAGAUUAGGAGGAACACCAAUGGCGAAGGCAGGCUCCUGGGCAGCUACUGACGCUGAGGCGCGAAAGCGUGGGGAGCAAACAGGAUUAGAUACCCUUGUAGUC
RNAcentral lists this ribosomal RNA (443 nucleotides) under uncultured bacterium. Its description in RNAcentral is "partial 16S ribosomal RNA". It matches the Rfam family "Bacterial small subunit ribosomal RNA", at positions 338 to 795 of the family's 1533-position model. The record is from RNAcentral.